Molecule: long non-coding RNA, 1740 nt
Organism: Chelonia mydas (Green sea turtle)
Lineage: Eukaryota; Metazoa; Chordata; Testudines; Cheloniidae
Exons: 4
Source: RefSeq, a predicted model, not a curated record
AGAAUGCCGUGGGUAUCCCUCUGCCCGCGAGCGGAGAUCGGGCCGCCUAAUCGAGAGGCGCCCGAAGCCUGAUUUCCCCCAGCCCCUACCGCACAGAAAUGCCGAGCCCUUCACACCCCCGCCCAGCCCCGCCUCCUGCGUGCGGCCGGGCCAAGCCGCUCAAGCUGCUGUUUAAACGUCGCUCAUGAGGGGAGGCGGGGUCAGGGGGCGCCCCGGAGCAGCUGGGGGGGGGGUUGGCGCCGGCCUUAUUGAAUUUGUGGGACGGGCGCGCGCUAACCCCGGCGCCGUCUCCGGGUGUGGCGGGGCUCGAGAUGUCUCCCGCUCGGACUCUCCGCAGGAGCUGCGGCCAUGGGGGCUGCCCAAAAACUAGGUACCAUUUGGGGGCCGUUUACCAGAAUCGCCCAUCCCUUGUGACACCGUGUGCGGCACAAACUGCAAAACCAACGAUGGGAGCCCCCGCCGUACUUGAUGGGCAGCGCCGUGCGCGGCCCCAAUCGGGAUGGAUCUGGGGAGGUGUUUUCUGCCGCAGCGCCCCCCCGCCCCCCCCCCGCGCUCCGAAACACCUGGUCCACGGCUGACGGGAGGGUGUGUUUGUGCUGGCACCCCCGAGCAGGCUGAAACGGGAACUACUAGGGGCUGUAGUGCUGGGCUAGUGACUAAUGUUCCCUCUGCCUUGCCCCUUGUGCGUGCGAUGGGUGUAAAACAACAGUCGUGCGAUUUGUCAUCGUUUCUCAUGGCCACCCUGAGCUGGUGCGUUUCCAGUUUUAUUUGGAAGGGCCCCGUCUCCAAGGUGGCCCUUGCUAUCAGCGGAGGAUGGGACUGAGAGCACAGCACGACCUAAGCUCAGAGCAACAGUGGAGAUGGCAGGGCUGCUGACCAUCUUCUGGCAUUGGGCUCCCUGGAGAGAAACUCUGCAGCAAGUCUUGUGGGGCCUCAGAUUGCCGAGCAGGGGGGUGAAUGGAUUUCUCAAGCUUUUGGAGCUGAUGAACCUUGGGGGGAUUAUGAAACAUUCCAUAAUGUGUCCAGACCGCCAAUAAACAUAACCAGGACUACAUAAACUGUGAUCUGCAAGAGCAUUUACACCAAUUACAAAGCCAUUGAGAAAUCAGAGCACAAGAAGCUGUUUAAGGCUGACUGGAUACGUAUGGCAUCACAGAAACUUGGUGGGGUAAGUCACAUGAUUGGAAUAUCGGUAUAGAAGGGUACAGCUUCUUCAGGAAGCACAGGCAGAGAAAAAAGCAUGGAUGUGUUGCCUUGUAUAUCAAAGAUGAUAGUAGGACCUGUUGAAAGUCUCUGGGUAAGGAUAAAAUGGGGAAGAAGAAGAAAAAGGGUGAUGUCAUAUAGGAGUCUACUGUAGACCUCCUGACCAGGAAGAAGAGGUGGAUGAGACUUUUUUUUUUUUUUUUAAUACAACUAACAAAAUCAUCCAAAACCCAGGACUUGGUGGUGAGGGGGGACUUCAUCUACCCAGACAUCUGUUGGGAAAAUAAUACAUCAGGACACAGAUUAUCCAACAAGUUCUUGGAAUGUGUUGUAGAUUAUUUUUUAUUACAAAAGGUAGAGAAAGCAAUUAGGGGAGAUGUGCUCUUGAUUAGGUUCUGACAAAUAGAGGAACUAGAUAAGAUUCUGAAGGUGGAAGGCAGGUUGGGUGAAAGUGAUCAUGAAAUGAUAGAGUUCAUGAUUCCAAGGCAGUGGUUUUCAAACUUUUUUUCUGGGGACCCAGUUGAAGAAAAUUGUUGA